Oryza glumipatula is the source of this 211-nucleotide non-coding RNA. The record is from Rfam. NCBI's taxonomy places the organism in Eukaryota, Viridiplantae, Streptophyta, Magnoliopsida, Poales, Poaceae.
AAUAAGUGCAGUUUUAGCACUGUUCAUGUCCAACGUUUGACCGUUCGUCUUAUUUGAAAAAAGAUUAUGAUUAGUAUUUUUAUUGUUAUUAGAUGAUAAAACAUGAAUAGUACUUUAUGUGUGACUAAUUUUUUUUAAUAUUUUUUAUAAAUUUUUCAAAUAAGACGGAUGGUCAAAACGCUGAGCACGCAUAUCCAUGGCUACACUUAUC